CGUCCUCGGGGGGCGCGCGACAGUUGGCGUUCCGCAUCCGGAACAUGCGUCGCGCCGCGUGCCGAUCGCGCCGGGGACAUCUCGUUCGUGCAGUCAUCGUCGACUCCGUUGCUUCCGUUAGUGUGUCAACUCGCGUAAACAGCAUCACUCGUUGUCCGACUUCACUCGAGCUCGAAUCGAGGGCGCCGGAGUCACUCUCGAAGAUCGCCAAGGAGCGACGUGGAACUUGUCGAACUUGCUGGUCGAUCAUCGCUAGAUUGUCGCAGGACGUUCGUGGAAACGCGAAUCCUUUGUCCCCCGUCUGACAGGGAAGUGGCGGCGGUGGCGGCGACGACGAACGCAGCGUCGGACCGACGACGUCGUUUCGCGCAGCGAGGACUUUCUCUCUCUCUCUCUCUUCUCUCCUGAACGUCUUCCUUCCGACUCGCGAGUCUUCUCGAUGAACGCGGAUCGUGUCAAGUUCGGUGAAUGAUUGGAAGGAAUCUGGCGCGAGCGACGUUGCCGUCGACUGCUGUGACCAACGACUCCUCAACGAGGUUCGUCAUCGCGUGGACCAGUAACUCCGCAGAAGCCAAGAUCCUCGAGCUGCUUCCGCGGUCAGGCCGUGUGAUCUUCCUCUCGUCUCAGGGAUCAAGAGCAGUUUUUUUGACUUGGUGACUUCGUCCCCCCUGGAUUUGCGUGGGUUUUCGCGAACGACCGAUGUGAGGCCUCGCGAAGUGAGGCGGCGCGUUUCGCGGCGGUCGCGCCGGCAGAGAUCGGGGACCCGGGAGAGUCCGGCGCCGGGGGCCGCCGUCGCUUCGUUGCUGGAUCGUAUCUGGGAACGCGUCACCGACAUUCAUCCCGCGCGGGACCCGUCAUCAGGCGAGCAGGUGGCGGCGUCAGAUCGACGGUCGUUCGAUCGUCCGGCGGACGUCUCUGCCGCCGCGAGAAGAGCCGGCGGCGGCGUCAGGCGGAGGCGCAGGGACGGCGGAAGAGGAGGAGGAGGAGGAGGCGCAGGAAGUAGAGGAGGUGGUGGUGGUGCUGGUGCUGCUGGUGGUGGCGGCGGUGGUGCAGGAGGAAGGUCCGCGGACGUGCAACAAGUUAAGAGGCCGCCGCCGUCGACGUCGCUGUCGCCGCCAGCCUCCUCGGCACGAUGUGACAUGGAUAUCCUCGCUGUAGCCUGCGCCCUCGUUGCGACGGCACUCUACUGCAACACCUUGCAAGCGGGUUUCGUCUACGAUGACCGAAGAGCCAUCCUGACAAACCCUGACCUGCUGGCGAGCACACCUUGGUAUCGGUUGUUUGAAAAUGACUUCUGGGGAACGCCACUGACAGAGCGUGGCUCGCACGGAAGUUAUCGACCGCUCUGCGUGGCCACCUUUCGUCUAAAUCAUUUUCUUGGUGGUCUCGAACCCUGGGGUUACCAUCUAGUGAACGUGGCGUUGCACGCCGCCUGCACUGUUCUCGUUGUCAAGGUCGCCAGAAAGAUCCUGCCAGGAAGGAGCAAUCUUGCGCACGCGAUCACGGGUUUCCUGUUUGCGGUCCAUCCCAUUCACAGUGAAGCUGUGGCCGGUAUAGUCGGACGUGCCGACCUUCUUGCCUGUUUCCUGACCUUGACAUCUUUCCUGACGUACUCGGCCCAUUGUAAUCGCACGAGAUCGCCAUUCCCCCUGCUGGUGGCCCUGGUGUCGUCGACGUUGGCCACCCUCGCCAAGGAAACGGGCAUAUCGUCUCUGGCUCUCUGCCUUCUCUGGGAACUCUGUCGUGGCGAGCCAAGUCGAAAGGGCAGCUGCGGAUUCACCCGGGGUCGCAGCGUCGGCAUUCUGUCCGGCGGCCUGGCGUUGCUCGCCUUCGGCCGACUCAGACUCGCGGGGAGCAGGCCGGAGUUUGCAAGCGCGGACAAUCCGACGGCGAGGCAUCCGUCGCGGCUGACGCGCGGCCUGACUUUCCUGUAUCUGCCGGCGGCCAGCGCGAGAAUGCUACUUUGCCCGAGCACACUGAGUUUCGACUGGUCGAUGGACGCCGUGCCGCGCAUUACCAGCCCGCUGGACCCGCGGAAUCUCGAGUCCGUGUGCCUGUAUGUCGUCCUGAUCGGCGCGGUGUGCUGGGCCGUCAGGGGUCUGCGACGACCACGCCGGGACUCGUUACCGGUGGGUUUUCUACUUCAGCAAACGUAUCCACGUUCGGCGUCGUCCAGGUGUCCCGUGUGCGCUGGCAGACGCACCGGCGGCUGCCACACGGACGGCUGCCGGGCGGCCAACAACAACAACAACAGUCCACUGGGCGAUUGUCACUGUGCCAAGAGGCCGAACAGCAACGGCGGCAUAAACGGCGUAAAUGUUAGCGGCCGACAGACCGCGGCUACCGCCGUCGCCGUUUCCCUGGGCUUCCUCGUGCUCCCGUUCCUGCCGGCGAGCAAUCUGUUCUUCUACGUGGGCUUCGUCAUAGCCGAAAGAAUACUGUAUCUGCCCAGCGUGGGCGCAUGUCUAGCGGUUGGUGCCGCGGUGUCCGGGUGCUACCGGAUAGCGAGAAGAAACGGCUCCAGGACACGCGGUAGAGCGGUGCUUCUCGGCACGGCGAUUCUCAUUGGCGUGAUGUCGGCGAAGACGCUCGUGAGGAAUGCCGAUUGGAGGGACGAGGAGAGCCUAUACAGAUCCGCGCUGCACGUCAAUCCGCCGAAAGCUUAUGGCAACCUGGGCAGCAUUCUCAGCGAGCAAGGGCGAGUAGCCGAAGCGGAAGAAGCAUUUGUUCAAGCCCUUCGCUAUCGACCCAAUAUGGCAGACGUGCACUACAACCUGGGCAUCUUGCAGCAGGGCAGAAAGAAUUACGACGAAGCGAUUUUGAGUUAUCAACGGGCCAUUCAUUUCCGACCUUCGUUAGCUCAGGCUUAUGUGAAUCUGGGAGCGGCGUUGAUUUCGGUCGGACGGGGCACCGAGGCAGCUGCGGUUUUGCGCGCCGGUGCAUCCUUGGACGGCUCCGGUCUGAAGGACAAAAGGGCUCACGAGGCGGCCAGGGUGCAGGCUCUCCUUCAAUUAGGCGCGCUGUACGCCGAUCAAGGUAGAUUACAAAGAGCCCUGUCGGCGUACAGGGAAGCCCUGCGUGCCCUACCGGAUCACUAUCCACCUCAGAGCGUGUACAAUCUGCUAGGUGAGACGCUGUCGAGGCUGCAACAGUACGCGGAAGCGGAGAGGUGGUUUCAGGCGAGUUUGGCCAGCCAGCCUGACCACGUGCCGGCCCACAUCACUUACGGGAAACUUUUGGCACGGAACAACAAGCUCCUGAACCGGUAGCAACCGCCAGGGGGAGGGGGGACAGACAGGGCUAUCGAGUUCGCGGUGGCUCACGCGUCGCCUCUGCUUUCUCUCUCUUUAGUCGAGCCGCGUCCUGGAAGCGGAGAGAUGGUUCCUGAGAGCCCGCAGGUUGGCGCCGGACGACCCCAGCGUGCACCAUCAUUACGGGCUGUUCCUGACGUCGCAGGGUCGGCUGGUGGAGGCUGCCGAAGAGCAGCUGCGAGCGGCCGA
RNAcentral lists this unclassified non-coding RNA (3500 nucleotides) under Monomorium pharaonis (pharaoh ant). RNAcentral describes it as "protein O-mannosyl-transferase TMTC2, transcript variant X1". The record is from RNAcentral. Lineage: Eukaryota; Metazoa; Arthropoda; Insecta; Hymenoptera; Formicidae.